Molecule: ribosomal RNA, 520 nt
Filed under: uncultured bacterium
Lineage: Bacteria
Description: bacterial SSU rRNA
Rfam family: Bacterial small subunit ribosomal RNA
Source: RNAcentral
GGGAACGUACCCUUUGGUUCGGAAUAACGCUGGGAAACUAGCGCUAAUACCGGAUACGCCCUUUUGGGGAAAGGCUUGCUGCCGAAGGAUCGGCCCGCGUCUGAUUAGCUAGUUGGUGGGGUAAUGGCCUACCAAGGCGACGAUCAGUAGCUGGUCUGAGAGGAUGAUCAGCCACACUGGGACUGAGACACGGCCCAGACUCCUACGGGAGGCAGCAGUGGGGAAUAUUGGACAAUGGGCGCAAGCCUGAUCCAGCCAUGCCGCGUGAGUGAUGAAGGCCUUAGGGUUGUAAAGCUCUUUUGUCCGGGACGAUAAUGACGGUACCGGAAGAAUAAGCCCCGGCUAACUUCGUGCCAGCAGCCGCGGUAAUACGAAGGGGGCUAGCGUUGCUCGGAAUCACUGGGCGUAAAGGGCGCGUAGGCGGCCAUUCAAGUCGGGGGUGAAAGCCUGUGGCUCAACCACAGAAUUGCCUUCGAUACUGUUUGGCUUGAGUAUGGCAGAGGUCAGUGGAACUGCGAGU